RNAcentral lists this ribosomal RNA (505 nucleotides) under uncultured bacterium. Its description in RNAcentral is "partial 16S ribosomal RNA". It matches the Rfam family "Bacterial small subunit ribosomal RNA", at positions 28 to 507 of the family's 1533-position model. The record is from RNAcentral.
GACGAACGCUGGCGGCGUGCCUAAUACAUGCAAGUAGAACGCACAGUUUAUACCGUAGCUUGCUACACCAUAGACUGUGAGUUGCGAACGGGUGAGUAACGCGUAGGUAACCUGCCUGGUAGCGGGGGAUAACUAUUGGAAACGAUAGCUAAUACCGCAUAAUAUUAAUUAUUGCAUGAUAAUUAAUUGAAAGGUGCAAUUGCACCACUACCAGAUGGACCUGCGUUGUAUUAGCUAGUAGGUGAGGUAACGGCUCACCUAGGCGACGAUACAUAGCCGACCUGAUAGGGUGAUCGGCCACACUGGGACUGUGACACGGCCCAGACUCCUACGGGAGGCAGCAGUAGGGAAUCUUCGGCAAUGGACGAAAGUCUGACCGAGCAACGCCGCGUGAGUGAAGAAGGUUUUCGGAUCGUAAAGCUCUGUUGUAAGAGAAGAACGGGUGUGAGAGUGGAAAGUUCACACUGUGACGGUAUCUUACCAGAAAGGGACGGCUAACUACGUG